GGAGUGGGUGUAGUGGUAGCACGCGCCCUCCGUAUGGGUGAACUGCGGGUUCAACUCCAGCCUGAACUG
Non-coding RNA from Parelaphostrongylus tenuis, 69 nucleotides. NCBI's taxonomy places the organism in Eukaryota, Metazoa, Nematoda, Chromadorea, Rhabditida, Metastrongylidae. The record is from the annotation of a GenBank genome assembly.